This 252-nucleotide ribosomal RNA is filed under the name uncultured bacterium. RNAcentral describes it as "partial 16S ribosomal RNA". It matches the Rfam family "Bacterial small subunit ribosomal RNA", at positions 524 to 776 of the family's 1533-position model. The record is from RNAcentral.
UACGGAGGAUGCGAGCGUUAUCUGGAUUUAUUGGGUUUAAAGGGUGCGUAGGCGGACGCUUAAGUCAGCGGUAAAAUUGCGGGGCUCAACCUCGUCGAGCCGUUGAAACUGGGUGCCUUGAGUGGGCGAGAAGUACGCGGAAUGCGUGGUGUAGCGGUGAAAUGCAUAGAUAUCACGCAGAACUCCGAUUGCGAAGGCAGCGUACCGGCGCCCUACUGACGCUGAAGCACGAAGGCGUGGGUAUCGAACAGG